CGCCAGCCUCGGCCUCGGCCUCCCAAAGAGAUGGGAUUACAGGCGUGAGCCACAAGGAAGGAUGGAGAUAUGAGGCACAAGAACUACAAAUUCCCUCAGAAGGGAAGUGUGACUCUUGAUAUUUUGAAAACCAUAAUUUAUUUAUCGAAGAGAAACUACAGCUUGUAAGAUGUCAUCUUAAGGGAGACCAUCUUCCAUGUGAUAAAUUGUUGGCCCCAGGGAGAAACGUUUGCUGGGACUGAUGGGCGUAUAAUAAUACACACCCAGUGAGUGCGUGAGAUUCAUGGAGAAGGACGUUUGCCAUGACCCCUGAACCAGCCCAGACAGCUGACGGAGGCAACUUGAGGUGGAGAGAGAGAGAGAAGAAAAGUUGAAGUGACAAAGAGCACUUUCUCUACAGGGAGAGUCAAGAAGAACCAGAAAAAUUUAAACUUCAAAAAUUCUGGACUUGCUUUUAAAGGCUUUCUGUUUUUUAUUUGCAUAGUGAUGAAGAAAAAAGAAUUUGGGUGUGUAUAUUUGAGUUCCAGCUAGGGAUUCUCACAGCCUCCCUAUCCAUGUCAUCAUCUGUAUCCACAUCACCUCUGUUUACAUCCAUACCCUU
Chlorocebus sabaeus (green monkey) is the source of this 601-nucleotide non-coding RNA. The record is from RefSeq and is a predicted model, not a curated record. NCBI's taxonomy places the organism in Eukaryota, Metazoa, Chordata, Mammalia, Primates, Cercopithecidae.